Molecule: ribosomal RNA, 230 nt
Filed under: uncultured bacterium
Lineage: Bacteria
Description: partial 16S ribosomal RNA
Rfam family: Bacterial small subunit ribosomal RNA
Source: RNAcentral
UGAGUAACCUGCCCUGGACUUUGGGAUAACCCUCGGAAACGGGGGCUAAUACCGGAUAUGACAUGCUCUCGCAUGGGGGUGUGUGGAAAGUUUUUCGGUCUGGGAUGGGCUCGCGGCCUAUCAGCUUGUUGGUGGGGUGAUGGCCUACCAAGGCGACGACGGGUAGCCGGCCUGAGAGGGUGACCGGCCACACUGGGACUGAGACACGGCCCAGACUCCUACGGGAGCGA